GUUGAACGCUGGCGGCAUGCCUUACACAUGCAAGUCGAACGGCAGCACGGGGGCAACCCUGGUGGCGAGUGGCGAACGGGUGAGUAAUACAUCGGAACGUGCCCGGUAGUGGGGGAUAGCUCGGCGAAAGCCGGAUUAAUACCGCAUACGACCUACGGGUGAAAGCGGGGGACCGCAAGGCCUCGCGCUAUUGGAGCGGCCGAUGUCAGAUUAGGUUGUUGGUGGGGUAAAGGCCCACCAAGCCGACGAUCUGUAGCUGGUCUGAGAGGACGACCAGCCACACUGGGACUGAGACACGGCCCAGACUCCUACGGGAGGCAGCAGUGGGGAAUUUUGGACAAUGGGCGCAAGCCUGAUCCAGCCAUGCCGCGUGCGGGAAGAAGGCCUGGUGUAACG
This 396-nucleotide ribosomal RNA is filed under the name uncultured bacterium. Its description in RNAcentral is "bacterial SSU rRNA". It matches the Rfam family "Bacterial small subunit ribosomal RNA", at positions 28 to 429 of the family's 1533-position model. The record is from RNAcentral.